UGGCAGAUACGGAACAGCUUAUCGGCAGUGAUGGGAAGGGCACUGGACUGGUUUUUAUAGAUAUACUACGUAGGAAGUGCCGAAUUUUCAAUAUCCGGUAUGGGAAAAAUCACAAUGUCAGUUGGAGCUCUUCAAAAUGUAAGAUUGGUCGUAGAAGCCUCUUCCAGUCGCAUGCUUAACCAACACACCCCUCGCUACCCCUUAAACAACCGGCGCAAAAACAGUGUUGCAAAGCGCCCCGCAGACAGGCCUCCGGAAUUCGAAAAGCGAAGAUGUGUGUUUAAUAGCAAUUAUUACAUAAUUUCGGGACAGAUAAUAAAACUUUCAGCUUAA
Drosophila biarmipes is the source of this 333-nucleotide long non-coding RNA. RefSeq lists it as uncharacterized. The record is from RefSeq and is a predicted model, not a curated record. NCBI's taxonomy places the organism in Eukaryota, Metazoa, Arthropoda, Insecta, Diptera, Drosophilidae. The transcript is spliced from 2 exons.